Molecule: ribosomal RNA, 484 nt
Filed under: uncultured bacterium
Lineage: Bacteria
Description: partial 16S ribosomal RNA
Rfam family: Bacterial small subunit ribosomal RNA
Source: RNAcentral
AGUGAACGCUGGCGGCAGGCCUAACACAUGCAAGUCGAACGGCAGAACGGUGCUUGCUUGUUGUUACAGGGGCGGACGGGUGAGUAAGGCCUGGGUACAUGGCAGGUUGCUUUGGCUUAGGUCAGGAAAAGGGGGAUCAUACCGUAAUAGCGCAGAGGGCGAACGGGUGGGAUCAUCGGAUCUUACGCCAUCAGGUGAGCGAAGGUCGGAUUAGCUAGUUGGUGGGGUAAAGGCCUACCAAGGCGACGAUCCGUAGCUGGUCUGAGAGGAUGAUCAGCCACACUGGAACUGAGACACGGUCCAGACUCCUACGGGAGGCAGCAGUGGGGAAUAUUGGACAAUGGGCGAAAGCCUGAUCCAGCCAUACCGCGUGUGUGAAGAAGGCCUUCGGGUUGUAAAGCCCUUUUGGUUGGAAAGAAAAGCAGUAGGUUAAUACCCUGCUGUUUUGACGGUACCAACAGAAUAAGCACCGGCUAACUUCGUG